This 1290-nucleotide long non-coding RNA is filed under the name Chrysemys picta bellii (western painted turtle). RNAcentral describes it as "lncRNA (ENSCPBG00000008982.1)". Lineage: Eukaryota; Metazoa; Chordata; Testudines; Emydidae. The record is from RNAcentral.
UUGUAACUAUUACAGUAUAUUACUAUACAUUGAAUGGAAUGCGGAGGUAAUUCCCAGAAGUCUGAUUGGACAGCGUACAAGACAUAAAUUCUCUAGAAAUGCACUGCACAUUUCAGAUUUGCUUUACAUCUCUGAGUUUUGGAAUAUAUUAUCCAGAAGGAGUAAAUGUUUAGUCCCUUACUGAUUGGGUUUCCGUUCUGAACAUAGAACUGUCCUGUUUUGUGCUUUCUGUUGUCCAGUACAGUGGAUGAAGGUUUUAUGGUUGUUCCUUUUUAUGGUUUUACAGAAGUGAUCACUCUCGUGUUAUCCAACUUGGGACCUUAUCCUCUUUCAGGAGGAAGUAGAGCAAUGUUUCCUAGCAUGAGGGCGGAGCCUCCUUUGGUGUAUCAGACUAGUUGGUGGGAAGCAUGAAAGUGUGGCUUGUGACCUUUAUUUGAAAUCUGCUCAUCAAUCUGAUGUGUUGGAUUUGUAAGAGAACACAGCUUCUCACCAUUGUUAGAAAACCUGCAGAUACUUAAAAAUGAGCAGUGAUUGCUCUAACUCAAGUAUUAGCCAACAACAGGUAACAAAUACAUUAGCAGUUCAGAUAAUACAGAGGAGACUUUGUUUUGAAGUCUAAUAAUAGAUUUUAUUGUCUUUAUUGGGAUAACAAUCCUUUAGUCAGUCAACAUUUGGACAGCGCUUUGAGGAUGUAAAGUGCUAGACAGUGGUUAAGUGUUAAGUUCACAGGGGCUUGCUCCUAUGAGCAAGUUGGCAAAGUUCCUGUUGAUUUUAGUGGAUCCCAGGAUCAGCUCUAUAUGGACUUGAGUAGUCUUCACUCACAUGAGUCCUGCUGACUUCAAUGGGACUGCUCCUGUUGCUGGGGUUAUGUCUACCCUAGAAAUGCUACAGCAGCAGAGCUGCAGCACUGUAGUGUAGACAAUUACUAGAGUAACAGAAGGAGUUCUUCUGUCACGGUAGUAAACUCCACCUCUCCAAGAGGCAGUAGCUAGGCCUGCAGAAGAAUUCUUCCAUUGACCUAGUGAUGUCUACACCAGCGCUUAAGUCAUCUUAGUUACAUUGCAUGGGGUGUGAAAGCCCUGAAGGGUGUAGUUAAGCCACCUAAGUCUGAAAGGUAGACCAGUCCUAAGACAAACACAAGGAAAGGUUUGCGUAUUUGGGCCCUAGUUUUGCAUAUCUAUUUUUCAUGGCUCAGUCUGUACCAUCACCUGCCUUUUAAGUGGCUCCAUUCCUUUCUCUGGGAGUUCACGGAUGAUAGAAAUAGAAAAUAAAGGGAACUUUAUAUGGUCA